ACCCGACUGACAAGUCCCAAAUAGGACGAAGCGAUCGUCUUGGAU
RNAcentral lists this non-coding RNA (45 nucleotides) under Schistosoma mattheei. The record is from RNAcentral. Lineage: Eukaryota; Metazoa; Platyhelminthes; Trematoda; Strigeidida; Schistosomatidae.